GAUCUACCCUUCCUCGGCCUCAAACCGCCAUGGACAGCAGCUGAAAAAAAAAUGGGUAUGCAGCGGACGUUUGGCCCGUUUUGGCCGCCUUCCCGAGCCCGGAUGCUCGGCCCACUUUGAGGAAAGUUGUUCUCCUCGCCGUCCCCGUCAUUUUGGUCCGCUCGGCUCGCUAAUCCGAUGAGUUUAGCUCACUAAACCUCGCUUAGAGGGUUAAUUAUGGUUAGGGAGGUUUAGUUUAUGUUAAGUAUUAUUAGGUUGUUAUUUUGUGUUAAUUAAGAGUAGAUUUGAUUAAGGUGGUGGUUUAAUUUAAAGUGUGCUUAAUUAAGGGUAAGUAGGUUUAUUUAAAAUAAGCCUUGAUUUGACAUAAAUGAAUUUACUUUUGAUUUAUUUAAAUGUCUCGAAAUUAUUAUAUAAUUUAAUAAUAAUUUUAUUCGAAAUUAAUAAAAUAUUAUUAUUUAAUUAUUUUCGGAAUAAAUUAAAUUAUUUAUUAAAUUCCGAAAAUUUUGUCGAGACCCUAAAUUCUCAGAAUUUCGUACCGGUCGCUGCUAUGUAGUCAGAUUUUGAAAUUGACGAUUGGAUUUUAUAAAUUGAGUGUGGAUCGUGAAAGACAUGGAUAUUAUUAUUUAAUUAUUUUCGGAAUAAAUUUAAUUAUUUAAUAAAUUCCGAAAAUUAUUCUGGAACCUUAUUCUCCCAUAAUUUCGUGCUGAUCGUUGCUGUGUAUUUAGAAUUUGAUAUUGAUGAUUGGUUGUGGCAAAUUGAGUGUGAUUGCGAUAUAUAGGGAUUCUUUAUGAAAUCCUAAGUGUAGAAAUUGAUGGGAGAUUGGCUGUGAUUGACCACCUAUUAGAGGUCGUGCCUAAUAUGGCCGUGAUAAACCACCUAUGAGAGGUCGUGCCCAGUGAGGUCGUGAUAAACCACCUAUUAGAGGUCGUGCCCGAUGAGGCCGUGAUAUGCCACCUAUUAGAGGUCGCGCCCAAUGGGGCCGUGAAUUGCCACCUGUUAAAGGUCGCGCCGAGUGGAGCCGUGAUGCCACUGAUUCAAAUUUGCCGAGUAGGGCCGUAGUUGAGAGCAAUGAUUGAUUUGCCAGAAUGACAUGUAAUCGGCCGAGUCGAUUGAUUGCUGUGACGAUCCAAGUGGUUGAAUUGUUUGGAUAAUGUGAUUGUGACAUGGUUGUUUGGUUAUCAUAAUUGUAUGUGGUUGGAUUAUAUAAAUUGUGCUAACCUGCAGAUGAAGGCUGAGGCGAGGUAAGUCUUCUGUGUGAUGUGGCUAGGCCACCCUUGGGCGUAUUUUCUUUCUAAUAGGGGUUUAGGGGGUUGAACUUGCUGAGACGUUUUCUCAGUGGUUAUUGAAUAACCAUUUCAGGUCCCUGGUGGACGGAGCGGCCAGAUAGUUUUGGUUGGCCUUGAGGAGUUGCAGAGGUGAAGUCAUAAGGGUUGGAGAGCGUGUCCUGCUAGAUGGUUGUAGGAUAGUUCCCCUUUUGUUGAGCUGGUCUAUUUUGUAGAAAGUCCAGUGUUGUAUUUAAACCCUUUGUGUUUGUAAAUGAGUGUUUGGUAUUGUGAUUGAUUGCCUGCCUUUCUAUCUCAAGUUAAAUGUUGUCAGGGGAUUUGUUUCGCUUCCGCAUGCGUAAAGAAAUGAAUGGGUCGGCAACAUAUCCUGGGAUGUCGCAUUUUUGAUCGACCGCAGUGGGAUGUGUGCGCGCUCGGGGUUCGGGGCGUGACAUCCCCGUUUAAGUGGUAUUAGAGCAUGGUCUGUGUAUGGAGUGAUAAGGUGCAAUGAGUCUUGGGAUAGUUAGUAGGAAAGGCUUUUAAUAUGCUGAUGCAUGUGAGUGAUAGCUAAUUGGUAGCUUGUUUGUGGGGUCACUCAAAUUUCAACUUGAUGUUGGAAUCGAAAAACAGGUGUCUAUAAAGAGCCUGUAGGAUGAGUGACCAGGAGUGGAGAACUCCUUGGAGAAUGUCGAUAGGACCUAUACCUCGGGGUAGGAUGUUGACAAGAGUUGGUACCCGAGGUAAAGCGCAGGCUUAAACCAGCGCGAGUGUGAGAGUACCGCUGCAAGUCGGUACUUAGAGUGUAGCAGCACUUAACGAUCUUAGGUCCGUUGAGAUCAUUCAGGCGCUAGUGUCCCUUGGAAGCUUGUUGGGUCAGUAAGCUCAGGAUCGAGCCGUUGUUGUUGCUGUUAUUUCUACCGCUGCCAGUGUUGUGACCGUUGUUAUUGCCGUGCCUGUUGAGGCCUAAUCUGGAGUUGUGAUCGAGGAUCAAGUCUUCAUAUCUGAGUCAAGGUUCAGUUUAGACAGAGAUGAAAAAUCGGUUGGGGAGAAAGGCCGAUGUCAGAAGAAAGGUGCCCUAUUUCACCCAACCCGAAGAGUAGAAUUGGAAAGUCAGUGCUCAACUCGAUCGAUGUGUGUCGUGUCUGUAAGAAAAGACAUGGAUCUAUUUUGUGCUGUAAGAGAGAGAUGACUUGUUACAAGGGUCGCCAGUACAGUCACUUGAUCAAAGAUGGUUCGUAUAGACAGAUGGAAUCACAGCUGUUUCUGUCACCGUCGUUGAUAAGACAGAACAGAGGAAGCAUGCUUCAGGAUGUUCAGUGGGGUACUUGGAAUGGACCCCAGUGCAAGAAAGGGUGCAUGAUGUUCCUUGAUGGGAGGUAGAGGACUCACCGAUUGUGUAACGAGUUUGUGGAAAGAGGCUUGAGUCAGCCCAGUGUCAGAGUAAAAAGGGAGCAUGCUUCAAGUGUGGCCAGCAUAGUCGUCAGGUUAAGAACUGUCCGUGUAAGUUUAGGAGAGUGUAAGCACUGCUACUGCAGAUAGAACGCCACUAGGAUGGCGAAAAGAAUAAUAAUGGAUUGACUAUGCAUUAAUCAAGGGAAGAAUGUUUUGAGGUGUUCAUCAGAGUAGCGCAACAGGAUUUUGAGUGAAGGUUGUGGAGUCUCCGUUGUUGUAAUAAAGUAAUAGGAAGAUGAGUAUUUGACUAUAGUUGUACCUGAUGGGUUUGCUUAUGUAUGACUCAGAAGUCAUUUAUGAAAAGGUUUGGCUCGAGGAGCUUUCUGCUGUUAUGAAUUGUGGCAGUGAUAUAAUUUAGUUUGUUCAGUUAGCGUGUGAAAGUUUUGAAUCACUGAAAGUUGAAGAGGAACUUCAAUCCUUGCUAUUUGUCACUGAAGAUGACUUGGUUCAGGUUGUUGGUUAUCGAAUCUACAUGGCAACUGAAGUGGAUGCAUCAGUUGAGGGGCCGAAUAUGAAGAUCAUAAUCGUGGUACAAGAGUUUUCUAAAGUAUUUUAUGCAAAAUUGCCAGGUUUGUUGUUGGAAAGAGAAAUAGAGUUCAUGAUUGAAUUAGCACCCGGAACAGAGCCAGUCCCUAAGGCUCCUUACCGGAUGGUGUUACCUGAGUUAAAAGUGUUAGAGAAAUCUUCUUGAAGUGUUUUGAAGUUGACAAAACGUUUCUAUCAGUCUAGUUUGAAGGCUUGCAGACUCUGCUAUUUAAAGUCUGAAAACCUCCGGACAGCCAGACUCAAGACUCAAAGUCUAUCCUCAUUGACAGUCUCUAAUCCAUUGAAGAAAGGUUAUCCAGAACUGUAUGUUUCGUUAAGGAUUUGACCUUAUCAACUGGAGAAGAUCUCGUGGCUGGAGAAGACUUAACGGAGUCCUUUGAUUGAUCGAAGAUUGACUCGAUAAUUGAAGAUCCGGUGAUUGCCUAAGUAUUAUUGGAAGGUUCUGCUUAUGGAAACCGAGAUCCUGAUUGUAUGGGCGAACAGGAUUGAUGGGCUAUCAACACGUUCCUUUAAUAGCUUGAACAAUCUUCCUAAUUGAUUCCGUCCAACGGGUAGAUUGGAGGAAUUCCUUUGGUAAGUGCCAAUGGGUAUGAUGGCAUAAAGGAGUAUAUAAGGAAGACUGUCUUAGUUGUUCAAGGUGUGCACGAUAGAAGAAUUCCAAAGUCUGAAGCUUCUUUUUGUUUAGACAAAUCAUUUGAGCGAACACUUGUAUACAAAAGAGAGUCUAUAUUUGUGAGAAACCUUGAGGAGGUGUGGUAACUUCUCUUUUGAUCAUAGUGAAAUCCAGCCGGUGGGCUGUCAGUGCGGAAGAGUGGACGUAAGCUUGGAAUAAGCCGAACCACUAUAAACCCUGUGUUCAAUUCUCUCUUCCUCACUCUCUCUACCUCGAUCGUAUUUCAUUUUGUUAAUUAAGAGAGAAUUUCCUUUCUAUCAUAUGCUAAGAAUCGCUUCCGUAUUUCGAUAAAUUGUUUAUGCACCUAUUCACCCCCCCUCUAGGUACUCAUACUAGCGAUAUCAAAAAGAAUUGAAGGCGUAGAUGCAAGAAGUGUUGGAAGUGUUGGAUAAGGGAUUCAUACUUUCCAGUGCAUCACCUUGGGGAGCACCCGUUCUAAUCGUGAAGAAGAAAGUUGGUUCGUUGUGUUUAUACAUCGAUGUCCCUCAAAGUCGAUUGGAGGUCAUGGUAUCAUUAGUUGAGGAUCAGGAAGAAAGACAUACUGAAGUUAGCAUCUUGCACUCGAUACGGCAGUUAUGAGUUCAUUGUAAUACCGUGUGGUUUGAUGGACACCUUAGUUGGUUGUUUGGGUCUAAUGAGUAGAAUGUUUAAGGGUAUUUAAAUCAUUUGUGAUCGUGUUCAUUGAAAUUAUCCUAGUGUGUUCAUAGAGUACUGAGGAGCACGAGAGACAUUCGAGGAUGGUACUUCAGACCUUGAGUACUUUUGGAUUUUACAAUAAGCUUAGCAAGUGUGAGUUUUGGAUGACUCGUGUUGCGUUCCUAGGUCACGUGAUUUCAGGCGAAGAAAUCUCCGUAGACCCUGUCCAAGAUUGAAGCAGCGAUCAGUUGGCCGAUAUUGACUGUAGUGACAGAGAUUAGAAGCUCUAGGGAUUAGCAGGAUAUUACAGAAGUUUUAUGGAAAGGUUUUCAGCGUCAGCGUUGCAGUUGAUUCGACUACUGAGGAAGUAAGAAAAGUUCGUGUGGACGGAUAAGGGCGAGCGUAGUUUUCAAAGGCCUAAGAAGAGGCUAACUACCGCACAUGUGCUAACCAUUCCAUCUGGUCCUGAAAGUUAUGAGGUCUACAAUGAUGUGUCGUUUAAAGGAUUUGGUUGCUUGUUGAUGCAGCAUGAUAGAGUUAUUGCAUACACGUCCCGUCAGUUGAGAUCUUGUGAGUUAAAUCAUUCGACGCACAUCGUAGAACUUGCAGUAGUUAUGUUCGUUUGGAAUUUUAGAGGCACUAUCGGUACAGAGGAAUAUUGCAUAUCGUCAAUGACUAUCAAAGUCUCAAUAUGUAUUCUCAAAAAGGGAGUUGUAUAUGAGACAGCAUCGCUGGAUGGAACUCAUUAAGGAUUAUGAUUAUGGUAUUUCGUAUCACUCUGGAAAUGUGAGCAAAGUUACAGACGUACUGAAUCGAGAGUCCUUAGUUGCACAGUCGGUACUCAAGGAUUUGAUAUUAUUUGAGAAAGUUCGAAAUUCAAUUUUCGAAUCUAAGGUAGGCCACCUUUUGAAUCUUAUGACCACCCUCAGAAUUGAGCGGAGAGUAUAGAUCAUAAUCAAAUCGCUUCAGUGGACAGAUUCAGAAAUUCAGAAGAUUCUAUAAGAGAAUGCAAUUGAGAGAGAGGUUGAUUUUCAGAUUUCUGAUGACAGAACGCUAAGGUUCUGAGGACGAUUGUAUGUAAUUGAGAAUGCUGAGAUUAAAGAAUAGAUCUUAUGGGAAGCUCAUAGCAACUUCAGCGUUGUUCAGACAGUAAGAAGAUGAGUCAAAAUCUACAUCAUUGGGAUUGGUAGAUCUGCAUGAAGAUAGAUAUCGCCAAUCAAGUUGUGAGUGUUGGAGAUAUCAGUAAGUGAGAAUUUGGCGAUGUAAGCCAGGAAAGCUUUUUCAAGUACUGGAGAGAGUUCUGUGUGGGAAUGGAAGUAUAGCAUGAUGGAAUGUUAUGACAAGCUUAUUAAGGAGUCGGGAAGAGUAUUGAUUCCUUAUGGGGUUGUGGUCGAUAGAUGAUCAGAGUCAGCUCGCCUUAGUGCAGCAUGAAAGGAUCUCGAUUAGAAUAGAUAUACCGAAGUGUGUGUAUAUCAUAUAAAUCACCGGCAUGGAGUGCUGGGGAUGAAUUGUUUUUCAAAAAUAGAUCAGAUGUUCUGAGUUGGCAGAGCUUUCAGAUAGUUCUUUCUUAAGCAGUGCAUAGCAGAGAGUACAGAAUUUCAAUUGCCGAGAUGAAGUCAGGGAGAGAAAGAUCAGGUCAGGGUCAGUACAGUGGUCAGUGAUUGCAAUUGCCGAGAUCAGUGUCAGAAUUAUAUCAUAUCUUGACCAGAGGUUCUCAGUUUCAGCAAGUGAGUCAGAUAGUUUCUCUUUAAUCAGUGCAGAGCAAAGUGUACAGGAUUUCAGUCGGUUGAGAUGAGAUCAGAGAUUAGAAAAUCGCAAGUCCAGAGUUGGGUCAGAAAUCAGUGAUUCAGUUGCAAUUAUCAGAGACAGUUUAGAGACUGCUCAGAAUCGCCAGUUUAGCUUCGCAAAUUUUAUGUUGAAGACCUUUGGAAUUUUAAGUGGGCAAGUCUUCAGUAUUUUGUAUCCAAAGUGGUUUGGGUAAGAUAGCAGUGAUCUGGCAGUAUUAGUACAGAAGGAGCAACCUGAGAAACCGAAGUUUCGAUGAGACAAUUGUACCCCCACCUUUUCUGUUUAAGAAUUGGUAAAGGUUUAAAUUUCGAGGACGAAAUUUUUAUGAGAAGGGAAGAGUUGUGACAUCCCGAUUUUCCGAUUCUAUUUUCAAUAAAUUGAGACGGGCAUUUCGUUGGCACGCAUAUAGUUCUUUUCCUUGAGUUGGCCACUCAUGUGAAAACUAGUCUAUCGGGUGAAGCUGUUAAGAGUUUCUAAUGCAUCAGACUCGAGAAUUUGACCAGGAAGCGACCUUUCGACCGAGCUAGUCUGCAAGGGUCAUUACGGUACAAUUAAAAUCGAUUAGAGAUCGAAGAUAGGUCGACUCGACACAGGCGGGUGAUCAGGUGUGGGUGAUUCCACCAGAUCGCACAAUUCGUGUCGAUCGGCACUAGACCGACUUUUCUAUCGAUUGGGUACCCUGUAUUCGUAUUUGAAACCUUGAGAUUAUCUCGACAACCGAAAGUCGCCAAUGUUUCAAAGAUGUACAUUGUGGCUUGAGAUGAUCAACCACAGGUCAAAUGCAUGAAAAUUUCUAAAGGCUACCCGGUAGGUUGGGCCGCGCUAGUAUCGUGCCAAAGUGAAAUUAACCGUGGAAUUGAGAUCGAAUUCAGAAAUUGGAAGUCUGGGUGUGUCACAAAUCAUUUCAAGAUCAUUGAAUCAUCUUUGGAAGAUUUUUCAUGCAAGCCGAGCUUUUUAGCAAAAUAAUCAAGAAAUGGCUAAUUUGGCUCGAGAAAUUAGUAUGCCGCUUUUGCCGCGCUUUUGGGAUCUAAGUUGAUUAUAUAGACAAGUGAAGAUGUGAAUUAAAGUGUGGUCACAUUGGAUUAAUUUUAUGGACUUCAAUUGGACUCAAUUGGAAGAGAAUUGAUGAGAAUUAAAGAAAUUGGAUGUACAAGAAUUGGACCCCGGCAGAAAAUGAAAUUGCAACCAUUGGAAAAUGUUGUGGGAGGUUUUGAGAUAGUGGAAUAUGACAUCACUUGGUGAUGUCAUGGUGUGGGGGCAAGAAUGGCUAGGAUGUUGACAAGUGUAAGGUGGAGAUUUGAUUUCAAAAAGGGCACCCAUCAACAUCAUCUUCAAGCUUGGGAAGAGAGAGAGAGAGGGGAGGAGCUGCUCGUGCGACCAGCCCCGACGCCGCCUCCAUCCGCUCGACCGGCCGCCCAUCGCCGGAGUUCGCCACCUCGCCGUCAUGCCGAACCGCCGUUGGCCGACCCCCUCUCCUUCCCCUUCCUCUCCCGUUGCGGUCUCUCUUCUCCAUCUCCCUUGGCUGCUUCGAGACCCAGCAGCAACCAGAGAAGUCCCGUCCGAAGCUGCACGCCAGCCGGAGGUCUCGCCGUUCGCCCGUCGCCGCCGUCGCGCGUCUACCUCGCGCUCGCCCGCGCCUAGCCGCGCUCCGCUCCGCCCGCUUCACCCAGCUCGUCGUCCCGAGCUGCUGUUCAGCUCGCGCAAGAGCUGCCGGAGCUCAUUCGUCGCCGCCGUGCACCGCCGUUCAUCGCCGCCAGCCACCGCGUAGCUCCUCCGCCCUUUCUGACCCGAACCGGCGCCGGAUCUACCCUUCCUCGGCCUCAAACCGCCAUGGACAGCAGCUGAAAAAAAAAUGGGUAUGCAGUGGACGUUUGGCCCAUUUUGGCCGCCUUCCCGAGCCCAAAUGCUCGGCCCGCUUUGAGGAAAGUUGUUCUCCUCGGCGUCCCCGUCGUUUUAGUCCGCUCGGCUCGCUAAUCCGGUGAGUUUAGCUCACUAAACCUCGCUUAGAGGGUUAAUUAUGGUUAGGGAGGUUUAGUUUAUGUUAAGUAUUAUUAGGUUGUUAUUUUGUGUUAAUUAAGAGUAGAUUUGAUUAAGGUGGUGGUUUAAUUUAAAGUGUGCUUAAUUAAGGGUAAGUAGGUUUAUUUAAAAUAAGCCUUGAUUUGACAUAAAUGAAUUUACUUUUGAUUUAUUUAAAUGUCUCGAAAUUAUUAUAUAAUUUAAUAAUAAUUUUAUUCGAAAUUAAUAAAAUAUUAUUAUUUAAUUAUUUUCGGAAUAAAUUAAAUUAUUUAUUAAAUUCCGAAAAUUUUGUCGAGACCCUAAAUUCUCAGAAUUUCGUACCGGUCGCUGCUGUGUAGUCAGAUUUUGAAAUUGACGAUUGGAUUUUAUAAAUUGAGUGUGGAUCGUGAAAGACAUGGAUAUUAUUAUUUAAUUAUUUUCGGAAUAAAUUUAAUUAUUUAAUAAAUUCCGAAAAUUAUUCUGGAACCUUAUUCUCCCAUAAUUUCGUGCUGAUCGUUGCUGUGUAUUUAGAAUUUGAUAUUGAUGAUUGGUUGUGGCAAAUUGAGUGUGAUUGCGAUAUAUAGGGAUUCUUUAUGAAAUCCUAAGUGUAGAAAUUGAUGGGAGAUUGGCUGUGAUUGACCACCUAUUAGAGGUCGUGCCUAAUAUGGCCGUGAUAAACCACCUAUGAGAGGUCGUGCCCAGUGAGGCCGUGAUAAACCACCUAUUAGAGGUCGUGCCCGAUGAGGUCGUGAUAUGCCACCUAUUAGAGAUCGCGCCCAAUGGGGCCGUGAAUUGCCACCUGUUAAAGGUCGCGCCGAGUGGGGCCGUGAUGCCACUGAUUCAAAUUUGCCGAGUAGGGCCGUAGUUGAGAGCAAUGAUUGAUUUGCUAGAAUGACAUGUAAUCGGCCGAGUCGAUUGAUCGCUGUGACGAUCCAAGUGGUUGAAUUGUUUGGAUAAUGUGAUUGUGACAUGGUUGUUUGGUUAUCAUAAUUGUACGUGGUUGGAUUAUAUAAAUUGUGCUAACCUGCAGAUGAAGGCUGAGGCGAGGUAAGUCUUCUGUGUGAUGUGGCUAGGCCACCCUUGGGCGUAUUUUCUUUCUAAUAGGGGNNNNNNNNNNNNNNNNNNNNNNNNNNNNNNNNNNNNNNNNNNNNNNNNNNNNNNNNNNNNNNNNNNNNNNNNNNNNNNNNNNNNNNNNNNNNNNNNNNNNCGAUUAUGAGUUUGUGAUGGUUCUUGAGGCUUUGAUUGCUGGAAAUUGCACCCUUGAUCAAGCUCUAGAAUUUAUCUAGAGUAGUUCAAGAAUUCUUUUGGCUCGUUUUGGCUUCCAAUUAGUUUAUAAUGGGCCUAAGUUAGAUCUAUUGCAUUUAUUUAAUAUUUUUCGUAAUUAAUUAAUUAUUUAUUUAUUUUCUGGAAAUUCAAUCGGGAUGGCCGGUAACCAGAAUUUUAUACUGAAUUCAUUAAUGCUUUCUAUUUAUUGAAUUAAGCAUUGGAUUAUGAUAAUUGAGUGAAAUUGGUGAUGAUGAGGAUUUAUCCCAAAAAUUGGAUAAUGUGGGUAUAAAUCUAAGAAUUGCCGAGUGGGACUGUAAUACCAAUAAAUCUCACCAAAUAUAAUAAAUUUGUCGAGUGGGGCCGUGAUACCACUAAAUCUAAAAAAAAUUGCCAAGUGAUGCCGUGAUGUCACUAAAUAUCGAAAAUUGCCAAUUUGGAUCGUGAUGCCACUAAAUCUAAAAAAAAAAUUGCUUGGUGAGGAAUCUAAAAAAAUUUUGCUUGGUGAGGCCGUGAUUUCCACAAAACCUAGAAAAUUGCCAGUGGAGGCCGUGAUGACCACCAAAUAUAGAAAAGAUGCCAGUGGGGUUGUGAUUACCACUUAAUCUAGGUUGUGUUCGUUAGGCCAAAAUCAAGAGUUGAAAUUGAUUAAUCGAAAUGACUGUGUGAUGGUCUUGAUGACAUGUAAUCAACUUAGUCAAUUGAUUGAUGAGUCGAUCUAUCUGAUGAUAUGAUAUGAUUAUCAGUAUUUAUGAAUUAACUGACUUGUAGAAAGGAACUCAGGCCAAUGUAAGUCCUCUGACUCGUGUUGUGCUUAGGUAGCCUUUAGGGCGUAAUUGGCUUCCUAAUCAAGUUUUAGGGGGUAGAACUUGCUGAGACAUUGUCUCAUUGGUUAUUGAAUAACCAUUUCAGGUCCUUAGGUGGUGUUGGCGAAGGACUAGAAGCCUUGGAGUUUGAGAGGCGAAGCUCGAAAAAUCAGCGAUCUUGUCCUGCUAGCUAGUCGUAGGAUAAUUCUCCUUUGUAAGGAGCUAAUUCCUUCUGUGAACCUUUGUAUAUAGACACGUGUGUUUAUAAAAAUGUAUUUUGUGAAAAAUUAGUCCUACUUUCCUAUUCCAUUGGUUUAUUGUUUAAGGAUUAUUUAUAUGCUUCCACAUGUAUAUUAAAAUGAAUGGGUCGGCGAUGCGUCCUGGGACGUCGCUACUAAUCAACUAAGCAAGGAUGGACAUGUGCUCAAAGGAUCGGGACGUGACACUAACAUUCAAAGUUUAAUUUUUAAAAUUAUUUUGCAUCAAAUUUCAACAUCAGUACAUUAGAGAAUCAAUCAGGAAAACCACUCCUAGCAAAAGGACAAGCAGUGUAGACCAGAUCUAAUCUGACAACCAAAGAGGUCUCUUACCAUCACUACCAAAAACCACCCCCCCAAAAAAAAAAAAAAACAAAACACAUAAAGAGAAAAUAAAUCGAAGAUUCUUGAAGACACUUUUAUCGAUUUGGUAACCUCACAGAGGUUCGUUCAACUCGAACACCGCCAAACCCAACGAAAACCCAUUCGCAAACGACAGGCUCGAACGAUGGCGCCGACGACCACCUGCCUACAAAGCCGAAACCGGGAAGUACCCGCACGUCGAAACAGUUAUUUUAAGCUCGUAGAAGCUAGAUAUAGAGUCUGACAAGCAAACAAGCACGGGGUGAGGGAGUGAGGCUCACCUUGCUUUUGACAGCGGAUCAACCAGCCAGGCUCAACGAUGGUGACGUCAGUGCGACGAGCUAUAGGCACAACCGGUCGCAUGGACAUCACAUUCAGCCACUCUCUUCGUCUUCUNNNNNNNNNNNNNNNNNNNNNNNNNNNNNNNNNNNNNNNNNNNNNNNNNNNNNNNNNNNNNNNNNNNNNNNNNNNNNNNNNNNNNNNNNNNNNNNNNNNNCCAUUUCAGGUCCCCUGGUGGAUGGAGCGGCCGGAUAGUUUGGUUGGCCCUUGAGCAGUGCAGAGGCGAAGUCAUAAGGGUUGGAGAGCGUGUCCUACUAGUUGGUUGUAGGAUAGUUCCCCUUUUGUUGAGCUGGUCUAUUUUGUAGAAAGUCCAGUGUUGUAUUUAAACCCUUUGUGUUUGUAAAUGAGUGUUUGGUAUUGUGAUUGAUUACC
Molecule: long non-coding RNA, 11752 nt
Filed under: Eucalyptus grandis
Lineage: Eukaryota; Viridiplantae; Streptophyta; Magnoliopsida; Myrtales; Myrtaceae
Description: long non-coding RNA (EGRA_LNC004483)
Source: RNAcentral